AGUAUUCAAUCAUGGAUACCUACAUUUUCACCCCAAUUAACAGAGCUUCCAGAUGAAGGCUGGAUAAGGACGAUGAAACGAUUCCUUACUGCUACGACGACAAUCAGCUUUACUGUGCCAGUCUAACAGUAAGUUGACUGAAGUUGAAAUUACUAAAUCUGAACUUCUAUAGGUUCAAUAUGGUACCAAUGAUGAUAAAUGUGGAGUCUUUGGGGACGACUACAAAAACUCCAUUCCAAGAAGCAACGAAAACGGAGUUGUAGAAUGAAGAUUGCUUCCAGUCUCUGACUCUUGAGGGCGGCUCUGUGUCUCAAAAUGUUGCGGCAGGACAAUUCAACAUUACCAGCUACGUUCAAUUGCCCAACGAUAUGGUUUGUGAUAAAUCAAAAUAUUGUUAGGUAACAAUUGGGGUAGUUGAGGCCAAGAUACGUCUGUAGAAUGAUGCGGUCCGCGGGAAACUUUCCGCUCAUGUGCAAACAUCAGCAUUUUAAGUUGAUAUUUUGGGCUACAAGCACGGCCAUUAAGAGCAGCUAUUUCACACGGGCCACUCUGCAGCGCUUCGUAGUGGCAUUGCUGAGAAGCGCGUUUUGAAGGUACAUUGAUUUAUAUGGAAGUAUUCACAAGGGCGCGACCGAGACCCGACCACCGAUUUAGCAGCGCUUUUGUGGCGUUCAGUGGCUGACUACCGCCUAGAAGCGCGUCAAAAAGAAGCGCCACUGAUAGCGAUACAUUGGUUCAAAUGCUGGCGUUUGAAGCAGUGCGAAAAGGUUCUAAAUAAUGCAUAGUUUUGUUGCCCAUCUGGUGAAUGAACCAGCUUUGAUUUCUUUCAUGCUGUCUACAUACUUAGGCGAAUGACAUUGUUUUACUUUCAAUGUGCAAGCAGUCUCUGAGGUUACUCAAGAUUGUUCACAGAAUUACGGUGUUAAUUAAAAAAAAGCAUAUCUUAACAAAAAUUUAUUAUACAUAGAUUAAUCAAUAAAAAUGUUUACUUUAA
Dendroctonus ponderosae (mountain pine beetle) is the source of this 994-nucleotide long non-coding RNA. RefSeq lists it as uncharacterized. Lineage: Eukaryota; Metazoa; Arthropoda; Insecta; Coleoptera; Curculionidae. The record is from RefSeq and is a predicted model, not a curated record. The transcript has 2 exons.